AAACUGUGAUAAGUAGUGUGAAUUGCAGAACUCCGUGAAUCAUCAAACCUUUGAACGCAUGUUGCGCUUGCUGAGCAAUCUGCAAGCAUGCCUGUUUGAGUACGGUUCUCUUUUAUCAAACUCUCUUCUUGUGAGAUGAGUUUGGAGUUGGGCAUCUGAGCUUUUCUGGCUCUGUUGCUUGAAAUGUUUUUUAGUGUUUUGCUUUGCUUCUAGUGAAUGUUUAGAGUUCUGGGAUGUCUCCUUGCAGUUGUUGGUAUUGAGACCGUGAUGCAGUAACUUUGCUUUCUCAUCUUGGCCUUGAUGCUGCUGCAAAUGCAAGUGAGCCUUGAAACUGGACAUGUCUUUGAAGCAAUUCAAGAUCUAAAAUCGAAGGGAGAAAGAAAACGGACCACGAUCUCAAAUCAGGUAAGAGCACCCGCUGAACUUAAGC
Molecule: unclassified non-coding RNA, 430 nt
Filed under: plant metagenome
Description: partial contains 5.8S ribosomal RNA, internal transcribed spacer 2, and large subunit ribosomal RNA
Rfam family: 5.8S ribosomal RNA (bases 1-105)
Source: RNAcentral